Molecule: ribosomal RNA, 485 nt
Filed under: uncultured bacterium
Lineage: Bacteria
Description: bacterial SSU rRNA
Rfam family: Bacterial small subunit ribosomal RNA
Source: RNAcentral
GUUUGAUCAUGGCUCAGGAUGAACGCUGGCGGCGUGCCUAACACAUGCAAGUCGAGCGAUUCUCUUCGGAGAAGAGCGGCGGACGGGUGAGUAACGCGUGGGUAACCUGCCCUGUACACACGGAUAACAUACCGAAAGGUAUGCUAAUACGAGAUAAUAUGCUUUUAUCGCAUGGUAGAAGUAUCAAAGCUCCGGCGGUACAGGAUGGACCCGCGUCUGAUUAGCUAGUUGGUAAGGUAACGGCUUACCAAGGCGACGAUCAGUAGCCGACCUGAGAGGGUGACCGGCCACACUGGGACUGAGACACGGCCCAGACUCCUACGGGAGGCAGCAGUGGGGAAUAUUGGACAAUGGGCGCAAGCCUGAUCCAGCCAUGCCGCGUGAGUGAUGAAGGCCCUAGGGUUGUAAAGCUCUUUCAACGGUGAAGAUAAUGACGGUAACCGUAGAAGAAGCCCCGGCUAACUUCGUGCCAGCAGCCGCGGUAA